RNAcentral lists this ribosomal RNA (385 nucleotides) under uncultured bacterium. RNAcentral's name for it is "bacterial SSU rRNA". It matches the Rfam family "Bacterial small subunit ribosomal RNA", at positions 29 to 416 of the family's 1533-position model. The record is from RNAcentral.
AUUGAACGCUGGCGGCAUGCCUUACACAUGCAAGUCGAACGGCAGCACGGGGCAACCUGGUGGCGAGUGGCGAACGGGUGAGUAAUGCAUCGGAACGUGCCCGGUCGUGGGGGGAUAACGCAGCGAAAGCUGCGCUAAUACCGCAUACGAUCUGAGGAUGAAAGCGGGGGACCGUAAGGCCUCGCGCGAUCGGAGCGGCCGAUGUCAGAUUAGGUAGUUGGUGGGGUAAAGGCUCACCAAGCCGACGAUCUGUAGCUGGUCUGAGAGGACGACCAGCCACACUGGGACUGAGACACGGCCCAGACUCCUACGGGAGGCAGCAGUGGGGAAUUUUGGACAAUGGGCGCAAGCCUGAUCCAGCAAUGCCGCGUGCAGGAAGAAGGCC